Oncorhynchus mykiss (rainbow trout) is the source of this 3796-nucleotide non-coding RNA. The record is from RefSeq and is a predicted model, not a curated record. Lineage: Eukaryota; Metazoa; Chordata; Actinopteri; Salmoniformes; Salmonidae.
CACUGUCAUCUGCAAAUGUAAUGAUGGUGCCUGGCCAUGCAGUCAUGGGUGAACAGGGAGUAGUGGGGAGCUCCGGUGUUGAGGAUCAGCGUGACAGAUGUGUUUAAAGGUGAAAGCAGUGGCCAGCAUGUGUGUGCAGGGGAGACCCACUUUGCUGUGGUUACUGUGGAGAAAUAGCUUGGGCUGUGAGUACAAUGUUCCUAUAAGUCCAAGGCAGAAAAAACAUUUUGAGCACUUUAAAGUUGUUUUUGUUGAUUAAACAUGUGCCCUUUUGAUGUUGUGGUUUCAUUUGUGUCCAAGAUGGUGGGCCAGCUGGGCCAUGGGGCCCAGGCCUCGUACCAGCAGCCACACAAGGUUGAGAGGCUGCAGGGAAAGGCCAUCUGUCAGGUCGCUUGUGGAGCUGAUUUCACUGCCUGUGUCACUGAUGAGGACCUGAUGUACAUGUUUGGUUCUGACUACUACGGCUGUAUUGGAGUGGAGAACGAGCAGGGCAUGUAGGUGCUAGAGCCUGUGCUGUUGGAAUUCUUUGAGGUGUGGCCUGUCAGGCAGGUGUCCUGUGCAGACAACCAUGUGGUGGUGCUGACCCACAGGGGAGACAUCUACUCCUGGGGCUGUGGAGAGCCCGUAGAUGGAGCUAUGAUGAAGGACAUUAUUCAUUCAUGAAGUUGGCCUUUUCCUCAGUCUUGACCAGGACUGUGAGGAUGACUUUAACUCCCUCACGCAAGUGGAGAUUCCCAAAAGAGCCAGUAUCUCAUCUGUGGCCUUGAUGGAACCUUCUGGCAAAGUCCUGGCCUGUGGGAACAAUAAUCAACCCUGUAGUCUCUGGCCUCAAACCUUCCUGGAGAGGUACAGCAUCACAUUCAACAUACUAGGAUCCACUCACAGCCUCUUCUCAUUGCUUUAAAAUAAGGAAUAAUGCAAUUAAUGGUGGAGAAUUUAAGUUUUCUUCCUUCAAUAUCAGGUCUACCAGAGGAUAACAUACACCAUUACACUCACUUUGGUCAAGCAGCUGGCCAGGUAUAAGAUCCGAGUAAUUUCUGCUGGGAAGACCCACACUGCUGCCAUCAACUGUACAGCUACCAGACUCUGCUCUCUUUUUUUCUGAUCCCCAAUUGAAAGUAUGUAGAAUUUUAUAUGAAGACAUGGUUCUGACUGAACUCUGACCUUGCAGGCUGAUGACCUUUGGCUGCAAAAAAUUAUGGUCAGCUUGGUGUGAAGGACUUCAAGAAGCACCAGGGCAUCUAGCUCUUGUUGGGGUCUUUUGGGGGAGGGGAGGUGGUCAGCAAAGUGUCCUGCGGACACCAUCGCAGCCACAGAGGGUCAGAAAAACAACUAAACUUCAACAUUCUCUGUUGCAGCAUGUUGUUGAAUAUGCUGUUUAAUGUGUGUAUGCAGCUUAGAGUUGUGGUGCUUGUUUUUUUUCUUCGCUUUAUUCUGUUAGCAGGGAGUCCUCGGCUCUGAGCUACAAAAGUAGGACUCAAUCUAAUGGAGAGUACCGGUAGAUUCCCUGGUUAGGUUCUGAAAGGAUAUUGGCUAAUCUCUUAUCCUUUCAGACAGUCAGAUCUUUGCCUGGGGAAAAGCAGGAAAUGUGGAUGCCUGGGAAUGCUUUACCACAACCCAUUUUAGGCUCCAUCCACCAUGUGCCAUACCACUCCUGUCACGGCUGGCACACCAUUCUCAUCAUGGGUUAGCCACUAAACUUCUGUUCUAACACCAGCUAAUAAUUUAUUGAAAAAUACAGUUGAGAUUGAUUAUGUUCCCUGUUUACAGAAAAUGUUCUCAACUUUAAAACUAUCUGCUCAAACAGCAGUGGACUUUUAAUUGGCAGUGGUAAGUAAGAUGGCCAUGGUCUCUCUGGUUACUUCAUCAUUACAUUCACAAUCUGAACAGGUCAAUAGUUUUAUACCAGUUUGGUACUGUACUGACCACAUGGUGUGUCCUGGUGUUUGUCGGUUCACACUAAGGCCUGGGCCAGGCCUCUACCUCCACUGUGGAUCUGGAGAGUGAGCCAGGGCUACAUGAAGGGUGAUUGGGGGGGCACUAAGGAAGAUGACACAUCAAGACCUCCAUAACGUCUCUGACGAACCAGACUUGCGACAGCUCUUGCCACGUCUGGCUGCGCCAUGUUUGUACUCAAAACAACAAGCAUAAUAAAAGCCUGAACAAAGAGGGUUAUGGCCACUGAAUGUUGGUGUCCCUCCCUGUCCAUCCUCCCUAACAGGAACUACAGGAUGCAGAGUUCAUCCUGAUUCCAGAGGCUGAAUACCUGGCCCACUGGCUCCUUCUUUCUCAGAGCGUCACACUGCUCUAUGAUGACCUGCAGGAGGUGAAGGCUGCUGCCGCCACUGAGAAAAGCCUCUCGGUUAUGACAAACGCACCUGACUACAUCCCCAGUGCUAAUAUCGCAACCUAACCAAGUGUUAUUUCUUUAGACCGCUCGUAUGGGCUGUCAAGGGGUCAACGGGUUGGAGGAGGCAGGAGCCUAAGUAAUGAGGUAGCAGAGUUUCGAGAGACAGUCAAUCACGAAGAGGCACCAAUCCAGUUGUUACAGAAGCAGUUCAGUGACCAGCUCAAAGAGAACGAGAGACUCUGAUCAGCAAUCAACCAUCUGACCCUGCGCAAAGCAGGAACUGAAAAGAACAGCAACCACCAAUCCGAUCACAGGCCUGUGGCAGGACAGGGAGGAGCCUCCAACCAUGAUGGGGACAGAUCUGCUGGGGCAAAUCCGUGAACAAAAACUGUCCUAUCCUAUAUGCAAUGAGUUGCGGUGACCCUGUGCAAAAAUAGUAUUAUAUUUGAGAUUCUCCAAAGUAGCCACCCUUUGCCUUAAUGACAACUUUGCACACUUUAUACACCUGUCAGCACUGGGUGUAGCUGAAAUAGCCAAAUCCACUCAUUUGAAGGGGUGUACACAUACACUGUAUAUACACACAAAAGUAUGUUCCAAUGUGAAUUUCAAGUACUUAUUUUUUGUUAAUUUAAAGCCCUGAGCCCUGUUCUUCAUAUGUGAUGCUGUAAAACUAAAAGCCUAAAUACUAUUUCAAAUAGCCAAAGGUAUACCAAAUAUAGUCUCUCUUACAUAUAAUUUACCAAAGAAGUAUUUAGUGUUAACAUUUAAGUAUUUACAAUCUUGUGUAUUUCAUAUGAUGAUCAGCUUGCUAUUCUGUAUCUGGAAAAAAUGGUGUAUGAGGUUCACUUUUACAUAACUCAAACUACUGAUUCAAUAUAGACAAUCAUUUAUUUUUAUUGCCUUAAGAUGAUAACCUUGAAUUUGUUUUAACUAGUAUUUAAGUGGAGGAAAUGGUCAUUUUAUGGUUAACCUUCCUUCUGUAAAAGGUGAUGUCAUUAGUACAGUUGUCUUCCUAGAAUGUAGAAAAGCUUGUUUUCGUAAAGUUAAUGGUAAUAUUUUGUUUUCUCUAUUAAAUGUUUUCUCAACUGUUUCUUUUUCAGGUUUAUAUUGUCUUUGUGUUCAUCCUGUUUUUGAGUAUUGAUUCAUCCUUUUGACACUAUUUGUGAAAAGUGUAAUAUUCACAUUGUAUAUUUGUUUACUCUCGGUGGUGUGUGUACAGUAAGUGUGUGUUUUACGUGUCCUUUACCAACGGCUUGCAACUCUUGGUUGGUGUGCAGUUAAUUGAUACAGUACACAACACUGGUGCAAUUUCCUUUAUCAGUGCAAGAGAACGUACUUAUUCCUUAGUGCUUUGCAUACUCUUAAACCAAGAAUUGUGCACAAAUAGAAAGAAUAGGCUAUGCUUUUUAUACAGUUUGUUUAAUGUUGAAAUAUUACACCUAUACU